This 280-nucleotide ribosomal RNA is filed under the name uncultured Lactobacillus sp. RNAcentral describes it as "partial 16S ribosomal RNA". It matches the Rfam family "Bacterial small subunit ribosomal RNA", at positions 68 to 339 of the family's 1533-position model. Lineage: Bacteria; Bacillati; Bacillota; Bacilli; Lactobacillales; Lactobacillaceae. The record is from RNAcentral.
UACUGAUUGAGAUUUUAACACGAAGUGAGUGGCGAACGGGUGAGUAACACGUGGGUAACCUGCCCAGAAGUAGGGGAUAACACCUGGAAACAGAUGCUAAUACCGUAUAAAACCUAGCACCGCAUGGUGCAAGGUUGAAAGAUGGUUUCGGCUAUCACUUUAGGAUGGACCCGCGGUGCAUUAGUUAGUUGGUGAGGUAAAGGCUCACCAAGACCGUGAUGCAUAGCCGACCCUGAGAGGGUAAUCGGCCACACUGGGACUGAGACACGGCCCAGACUCC